CCUACGGGAGGCAGCAGUGGGGAAUAUUGGGCAAUGGGCACAAGCCUGACCCAGCAACGCCGCGUGAAGGAAGAAGGCUUUCGGGUUGUAAACUUCUUUUCUCAGGGACGAAGAAAGUGACGGUACCUGAGGAAUAAGCCACGGCUAACUACGUGCCAGCAGCCGCGGUAAUACGUAGGUGGCAAGCGUUAUCCGGAUUUAUUGGGUGUAAAGGGCGUGUAGGCGGGAGCGCAAGUCAGAUGUGAAAACUCAGGGCUCAACCCUGAGCCUGCAUUUGAAACUGUGUUUCUUGAGUGCUGGGGAGGCAAUCGGAAUUCCGUGUGUAGCGGUGAAAUGCGUAGAUAUACGGAGGAACACCAGUGGCGAAGGCGGAUUGCUGGACAGUAACUGACGCUGAGGCGCGAAAGCGUGGGGAGCAAACAGGAUUAGAUACCCGAGUAGUC
Molecule: ribosomal RNA, 443 nt
Filed under: uncultured bacterium
Lineage: Bacteria
Description: partial 16S ribosomal RNA
Rfam family: Bacterial small subunit ribosomal RNA
Source: RNAcentral